GUCUAAUACCGGAUACGAGCUGCGAAGGCAUCUUCAGCAGCUGGAAAGAAUUUCGGUCAGGGAUGAGCUCGCGGCCUAUCAGCUUGUUGGUGAGGUAAUGGCUCACCAAGGCGUCGACGGGUAGCCGGCCUGAGAGGGUGACCGGCCACACUGGGACUGAGACACGGCCCAGACUCCUACGGGAGGCAGCAGUGGGGAAUAUUGCACAAUGGGCGAAAGCCUGAUGCAGCAACGCCGCGUGAGGGACGACGGCCUUCGGGUUGUAAACCUCUUUUAGCAGGGAAGAAGCGAAAGUGACGGUACCUGCAGAAAAAGCACCGGCUAACUACGUGCCAGCAGCCGCGGUAAUACGUAGGGUGCAAGCGUUAUCCGGAAUUAUUGGGCGUAAAGAGCUCGUAGGCGGUUUGUCGCGUCUGCUGUGAAAACCCGAGGCUCAACCUCGGGCCUGCAGUGGGUACGGGCAGACUAGAGUGCGGUAGGGGAGAUUGGAAUUCCUGGUGUAGCGGUGGAAUGCGCAGAUAUCAGGAGGAACACCGAUGGCGAAGGCAGAUCUCUGGGCCGUAACUGACGCUGAGGAGCGAAAGGGUGGGGAGCAAACAGGCUUAGAUACCCUGGUAGUCCACCCCGUAAACGUUGGGAACUAGUUG
This 647-nucleotide ribosomal RNA is filed under the name Microbacterium sp. RNAcentral's name for it is "bacterial SSU rRNA". It matches the Rfam family "Bacterial small subunit ribosomal RNA", at positions 161 to 822 of the family's 1533-position model. Lineage: Bacteria; Bacillati; Actinomycetota; Actinomycetes; Micrococcales; Microbacteriaceae. The record is from RNAcentral.